This 200-nucleotide ribosomal RNA is filed under the name uncultured Glomus. RNAcentral's name for it is "partial small subunit ribosomal RNA". It matches the Rfam family "Eukaryotic small subunit ribosomal RNA", at positions 591 to 796 of the family's 1831-position model. The record is from RNAcentral. Lineage: Eukaryota; Fungi; Glomeromycota; Glomeromycetes; Glomerales; Glomeraceae.
CCAAUAGCGUAUAUUAAAGUUGUUGCAGUUAAAAAGCUCGUAGUUGAAUUUCGGGGUUAGUAGGUUGGUCAUGCCUCCGGUAUGUACUGAUCUCACUGAUUCCUCCUUCCUUAUGAACCGUAAUGCCAUUAAUUUGGUGUUGCGGGGAAUUUGGACUGUUACUUUGAAAAAAUUAGAGUGUUUAAAGCAGGCUAACGCUU